CCCUUAGAUGUUCUGGGCCGCACGCGUGCUACACUGAGUGGAUCAGCGGGUCAGGUUGCGCGAAAGUGUUUCCUAAUCUUGAAAUCCGCUCGUGAUGGGGAUUGACGGUUGCAAUUUUCCGUCAUGAACGAGGAAUACCUUGUAAGCGCGGGUCAUCAUCCCGCGCUGAAUACGUCCCUGCCCUUUGUACACACCGCCCGUCGCUCCUACCGAUUGAGUGGUCCGGUGAGGCUUUGGGAUCUGAGCGGAAAGAGCGUUUCGCUGUUUCUGCUCGGAAAACUCAGUCGAACCUUACCAUUUGGAGGAAGGAGAAGUCGUAACA
Molecule: ribosomal RNA, 322 nt
Filed under: uncultured eukaryote
Lineage: Eukaryota
Description: partial 18S ribosomal RNA
Rfam family: Eukaryotic small subunit ribosomal RNA
Source: RNAcentral